GCUUACGGCCACACCUCCCUGAGCCACGCCGAUCUCGUCUGAUCUUGGAAGCUAAGCAGGGUCGGGCCCGGUUAGUACUUGGAUGGGAGACCCGCUGGGAAUACCAGGUGCUGUAAGCC
RNAcentral lists this ribosomal RNA (119 nucleotides) under Esox lucius (northern pike). The record is from RNAcentral. Lineage: Eukaryota; Metazoa; Chordata; Actinopteri; Esociformes; Esocidae.